CCUACGGGAGGCAGCAGUGAGGAAUAUUGGUCAAUGGGCGGGAGACUGAACCAGCCAAGCCGCGUGAGGGAAGACGGUCCUAAGGAUUGUAAACCUCUUUAGGCGGGGAGCAAUGCCGUCCACGCGUGCCCUGAGCGAGAGUACCUGCAGAAUAAGCAUCGGCUAACUCCGUGCCAGCAGCCGCGGUAAUACGGAGGAUGCGAGCGUUAUCCGGAUUUAUUGGGUUUAAAGGGUGCGUAGGCGGAGUUUUAAGUCAGCGGUAAAAUGUCGGGGCUCAACCCGGGCGGGCCGUUGAAACUGGUGAUCUUGAGUGGGCGAGAAGUAUGCGGAAUGCGUGGUGUAGCGGUGAAAUGCAUAGAUAUCACGAAGAACUCCGAUUGCGAAGGCAGCAUACCGGCGCCCGACUGACGCUGAGGCACGAAAGCGUGGGGAUCGAACAGGAUUAGAUACCCGAGUAGUC
RNAcentral lists this ribosomal RNA (460 nucleotides) under uncultured bacterium. RNAcentral describes it as "partial 16S ribosomal RNA". It matches the Rfam family "Bacterial small subunit ribosomal RNA", at positions 338 to 795 of the family's 1533-position model. The record is from RNAcentral.